CAUGGAGAUGCAAGAUGUGUAUUGCGUUAUGCAUGUUUAUGGUUUACACAAAGCGUAUAAGGAAAGUUAAGCAGUUGUACAAAGCCGAAGGGUUCUCCGACUUACGAUGGAUAAAUUGAGGGUCGUAAAAGCUUGGGUGCGAGCAAGUAGGAGGAGAAUUUCAAUCGAAGUACAGAUUUUUCUUGAAAUCGAGGAUAAUGAUGUUAUUACCAGCUGAUUAAGGAGGAGUAGUGUAAGUGUCAGAUGGGUACGAACGUCAUCUUGUGACAGCAUCACCUUUGUUUGGCUAAAGUACAAGAGAACUGCAGCAUGUAAGACUACAUGUACAUCGACUUUGAAUAAUCUACCUGGUAUAUCCUCAAAAAGGCAACUCAA
Molecule: long non-coding RNA, 375 nt
Organism: Saccostrea echinata
Lineage: Eukaryota; Metazoa; Mollusca; Bivalvia; Ostreida; Ostreidae
Exons: 3
Source: RefSeq, a predicted model, not a curated record